UGGAACUGGUUCGAUCAUCCACUACCGCCCGUCAAUGCUCCUGGAAGCCAAGGCACAAAGAGUUUCCAACUCACCCCACCAAGGCCAAAUUCCCAACUGAAGCCUAGUUCAAGGCCGCAGUCAAGCGGCAGCAGGCAAAGGCAAUUCACCUAUGACAACAUCAUGGAAACUCCUACACCAAAAUCCACAAGGUCCACCAUUCUCCAUGCCACAAGACGGAUGCGAACACCACCUUCAAGUUCAAGACCAAGGGCUAGAGGAGCUGCUUCACCAUUCGACUUGCACAUAAAGGACGAUGAUAGCCUUAUGAGUUGCCCACCAUUUUCU
This 327-nucleotide long non-coding RNA is filed under the name Gossypium barbadense (sea-island cotton). RNAcentral's name for it is "long non-coding RNA (GBAR_LNC008606)". The record is from RNAcentral. Lineage: Eukaryota; Viridiplantae; Streptophyta; Magnoliopsida; Malvales; Malvaceae.